RNAcentral lists this ribosomal RNA (253 nucleotides) under uncultured bacterium. RNAcentral's name for it is "partial 16S ribosomal RNA". It matches the Rfam family "Bacterial small subunit ribosomal RNA", at positions 524 to 776 of the family's 1533-position model. The record is from RNAcentral.
GACGUAGGAUGCAAGCGUUGUCCGGAUUUAUUGGGCGUAAAGAGUUCGUAGGCGGUUUGUUAAGUCUAGUGUUAAAGAUCGGGGCUCAACCCUGGGACUGCACCGGAUACUGGCAGACUGGAGUGUGGUAGAGGUAAGUGGAAUUCCUGGUGUAGCGGUGAAAUGCGUAGAUAUCAGGAAGAACACCAGUGGCGUAGGCGACUUACUGGGCCAUAACUGACGCUGAGGAACGAAAGCCAGGGGAGCAAAUGGG